This 630-nucleotide ribosomal RNA is filed under the name Naganishia uzbekistanensis. RNAcentral describes it as "LSU rRNA". It matches the Rfam family "Eukaryotic large subunit ribosomal RNA", at positions 1 to 613 of the family's 3401-position model. The record is from RNAcentral. Lineage: Eukaryota; Fungi; Basidiomycota; Tremellomycetes; Filobasidiales; Filobasidiaceae.
CUGGCCUCAAAUCAGGUAGGACUACCCGCUGAACUUAAGCAUAUCAAUAAGCGGAGGAAAAGAAACUAACAAGGAUUCCCCUAGUAACGGCGAGUGAAGCGGGAAGAGCUCAAAUUUGAAAUCUGGUAGCCUUCGGCUGCCCGAGUUGUAAUCUAGAGAAGUGUUUUCCGUGCCGGCCCAUGUACAAGUCCCUUGGAACAGGGCGUCAUAGAGGGUGAGAAUCCCGUCCUUGACAUGGACCCCCGGUGCUUUGUGAUACACUUUCAACGAGUCGAGUUGUUUGGGAAUGCAGCUCAAAAUGGGUGGUGAAUUCCAUCUAAAGCUAAAUAUUGGCGAGAGACCGAUAGCGAACAAGUACCGUGAGGGAAAGAUGAAAAGCACUUUGGAAAGAGAGUUAAACAGUACGUGAAAUUGUUGAAAGGGAAACGAUUGAAGUCAGUCAUGCUCUUUGGAUUCAGCCGUUCUGCGGUGUAUUUCCAUUGAGUGGGGUCAACAUCAGUUUUGACCGCUGGAUAAAGGCACUAGGAAGGUAGCACUCUCGGGUGAACUUAUAGCCUAGCGUCAUAUACAGUGGUUGGGACUGAGGAACGCAGCAUGCCUUUAUGGCCGGGAUUCGUCCACGUACAUGCU